UGACUUGAGUUGACAAGAUAAUGGGGGUC
This 29-nucleotide non-coding RNA is filed under the name Rattus norvegicus (Norway rat). The record is from RNAcentral. Lineage: Eukaryota; Metazoa; Chordata; Mammalia; Rodentia; Muridae.